GCUUAACGCGAAGAACCUUACCAGGCCUUGACAUGCAGAGAACUUUCCAGAGAUGGAUUGGUGCCUUCGGGAACGUCUGACACAGGCGCUGCAUGGCUGUCGUCAGCUCGUGUCGUGAGAUGUUGGGUUAAGUCCCGUAACGAGCGCAACCCGUUGUCCUUAGUUACCAGCACGUCAUGGUGGGCACUCUAAGGAGACUGCCGGUGACAAACCGGAGGAAGGUGGGGAUGGACGUCAAGUCAUCAUGGCCCUUACGGCCUGGGCUACACACGUGCUACAAUGGUCGGUACAGAGGGUUGCCAAGCCGCGAGGUGGAGCUAAUCUCACAAAACCGAUCGUAGUCCGGAUCGCAGUCUGCAACUCGACUGCGUGAAGUCGGAAUCGGCUAGUAAUCGCGAAGUCAGAAUGUCGCGGUGAAUACGUUCCCGGGGUCUUGUAC
This 439-nucleotide ribosomal RNA is filed under the name uncultured bacterium. RNAcentral's name for it is "bacterial SSU rRNA". It matches the Rfam family "Bacterial small subunit ribosomal RNA", at positions 954 to 1386 of the family's 1533-position model. The record is from RNAcentral.